UUUUUGUUUUGUUUUUUUUUUUUUUUUAACUCGGAAAAAAAUCAGUUGCUUAUUACUUAAAAGAAAUUAAGGCAGAACUCAUGACUUUAUUUUUAUUUUAUUUUAUGUUUUUGUCUUUUGUCUUUUGAGGGCCACACCUGCAGCACAUGGAGGUUCCCAGGCUAGGGGUCCAAUCUGAGCUGUAGCUACCAGCCUACACCACAGCCAUAGCAACACUGGAUCCCAGCCACAUCUGUGACCUACAUCACAGCUCAGGGCAAUGCUGGAUCCUUAACCCACCCAGUGAGGCCAGGGAUCAAAACUGCAUCCCCAGGGAUACUAGUAGGGUUCAUUAACCACGGAGCCAUGACGGGAACUCUAAGAACUCAUGACUUUAGAACAAUUAGUGGAUUUUCAGGUUAAAAAUGGAUAAAUAGGAGUUCCCGUUGUGGCGCAGUGGUUAACAAAUCUGACUAGGAACCAUGAGGUUGCGGGUUCGGUCCCUGCCCUUGCUCAGUGGGUUAACAAUCCGGCGUUGCCGUGAGCUCUCGUGGCAACACUAGAUCCUUAACCCACUGAGCGAGGCCAGGGAUCGAACCCGCAUCCUCAUGGUUCCUAGUCGGAUACGUUUCCGCUGAGCCACGACGGAACUCCUUACCUGUAAUCUUUUUACUUCCUUGUAAAUAGACAAGACUGAACAAUGGUGUCCAAGCCUGGUGUUUGGAACCCUUUGUGGGCCAUCAUAGGAAAUAGAUUUCUAAGCUCUCUACCUGUGGAUUCAGAUUCAGAUUUCACAGGUCAUAGCAUUUAACCUUCCAGCUAAGGGUCAGUUAUUACUGACCGGAAAUAAAAACUUGGGUGCUCAGUGAUGCUUCACAAUAAAGCGGAUAGUCUGACUACAGACAGGAACAGUUAGAAAGCUGCUACUAUGCUGCCAACUCCAAUAUGUCCAGAUAAAGAGCAGUGCAAAUUCUCACUGGCAUUCAAAACAGCAAGUCGUCUGAAUUGCAAGGGUGUCUAUAUACAUUUUCCCCCAUAAAAUUCAACAGAUGUCUUUUCAAUGCAAAAGCAGCCUCCACAUGUUUUUAUUAUUCCAGACUUGACUCAGGCAAAAAAGCUAGAUUAUCACUAAUCUAAACAUUCUGAUGUGGAAGAGAGAAGCUAAAAGAGGAGUCCAGGACAUCUUCAUAAGAAAAGUGAAUUUCCAUAUUUGACUGCCUUCCAAAUCAACUAAUUGAAGCCCAUGAAUUUCUAUGAUGGGCACAGAUUCUUCUGGUUAAAGGUACAGCUUUAUUCAAGAGGAUGUCAACACCCUACCGUUGCUUUAUUGCACAGGAAAGAUAGAGCUGAAAAAAGCCCACCCAAAGUUUUCAGAAACACGAGUAAAGACUUUCUUCUCUGAUUUUUAUCUCCUCAAAAGAAGGCUGCAGCUACAGCAAAGUCCUCUGAGGUUAAUGUCUCAAAAUGCAUAGAAACAUUUAUCUAUUUAGCUAAAAUGAUGGACAAGUCAGAGAGCAACUGAAAAAGAACACCCGGCAGAUUCUACGCUUCCUUUUGUGGGUUCUGAAGACCAAGCGGGCCCAUUCACC
This 1568-nucleotide long non-coding RNA is filed under the name Sus scrofa (pig). Its description in RNAcentral is "lncRNA (ENSSSCG00040027152.1)". Lineage: Eukaryota; Metazoa; Chordata; Mammalia; Artiodactyla; Suidae. The record is from RNAcentral.